RNAcentral lists this ribosomal RNA (638 nucleotides) under uncultured bacterium. Its description in RNAcentral is "bacterial SSU rRNA". It matches the Rfam family "Bacterial small subunit ribosomal RNA", at positions 32 to 662 of the family's 1533-position model. The record is from RNAcentral.
AACGCUGCGGCGUCUUACCAUGCAGUGAACGAGAAUGGACUACGGUUCUGAGUAUAGUGGCGCCGGGUCUACACGUAAGUUAUCUACCCUAGACUCUGGGAUAACGGCUCGAAAGGGCCGCUAAGACUAGAUAGUUCCUCGUAGUGAAACUAUAAGGGGAAAGAGGGUUUUUCUGAGACUUUUGGUCUAGGCUGAGCUUGCGGCCCAUUAGCUUGUUGGUAGGGUAAUGGCUUACCAAGGCGACGAUCGGUAGCUCGUCUGAGAGGAUGAUCAGCCACACUGGCACUGAGACACGGGCCAGACUCCUACGGGAGGCAGCAGUGGGGAAUUUUGCGCAAUGGGCGAAAGCCUGACGCAGUAACGCCGCGUGGAGGAUGAAGGCCUUCGGGUCGUAAACUCCUGUCAGGGGGGAAGACGAUACUUAUCUUAAUAAGGUAAGUCUUCAGACGGUACCUCCAAAGGAAGCCCCGGCUAAUUCCGUGCCAGCAGCCGCGGUAAUACGGAAGGGGCGAGCGUUGUUCGGAAUUAUUGGGCGUAAAGGGCGCGUAAGCCGUUGUGUUUGUCUACUGUGAAAGGCCACGGCUUACCUGUAGGGGUUGCGGUAGAAACCGCGCAACUUGAAGCUGGGAGGGGUUGGU